This 65-nucleotide transfer RNA is filed under the name Myospila meditabunda. RNAcentral describes it as "tRNA-Tyr". It matches the Rfam family "tRNA". From Rfam's summary of the family: Transfer RNA (tRNA) molecules are approximately 80 nucleotides in length. Their secondary structure includes four short double-helical elements and three loops (D, anti-codon, and T loops). The record is from RNAcentral. RNAcentral also lists the same sequence under 1 other name. Lineage: Eukaryota; Metazoa; Arthropoda; Insecta; Diptera; Muscidae.
GAUUAAAUGGCUGAAAUUAGGCAAUAGACUGUAAAUCUAUUUAUGAGAGUUAUUCUCUUUAAUCA